RNAcentral lists this long non-coding RNA (775 nucleotides) under Zonotrichia albicollis (white-throated sparrow). Its description in RNAcentral is "lncRNA (ENSZALG00000002705.1)". The record is from RNAcentral. Lineage: Eukaryota; Metazoa; Chordata; Aves; Passeriformes; Passerellidae.
GAACUCGAGGGGAAGGAGACACGGAUGAAAAUCCACGAGGGGCUGGGUUUGGGUGGGUUCCCAUCCCUUUCCCACUGGCAGGUGCCAGCCUGCCCAGGGGGAACAGGAGCUCUUUCCUUGGUGGCAGCCUCAAUUCUCACCCCAAAUAAUCCCAAAUUUUUGGGUUUUCUGCCCAGAGGGAACAGGAGCUCUCCUUGGUGGCAGGGCAGCCUCAAUUCUCACCCCAAUCCCAAAUUUCUGGGGUGCCUGCCCAGGGGGAACAGGAGCUCUCUCUCCUUGGUGGCAGCCUCAAUUCUCACCCCAAUCCCAAAUUUCUGGGUUUUCUGCCCAGAGGGAACAGGAGCUCUUUCCUUGGUGGCAGGGCAGCCUCAAUUCUCACCCCAAAUAAUCCCAAAUUUUUGGGUUUUCUGCCCAGAGGGAACAGGAGCUCUCCUUGUUGGCAGUGCAGCCUCAAUUCUCACCUCAAUCCCAAAUUUCUGAGGUGCCUGCCCAGGGGGAACAGGAGCUCUCUCUCCUUGGUGGCAGCCUUAAUUCUCACCCCAUAAUCCCAAAUUUCUGGGGUUUCUGCCCAGGGGGAACAGGAGCUCUUUCCUUGGUGGCAGUCUCAAUUCUCACCCCAAAUAAUCCCAAAUCUCUGGGUUUUCUGCCCAGGGGGAACAGGAGCUCUCUCUCCUUGGUGGCAGCCCUCAAUUCUCACCCCAAUCCCAAAUCUCUGUGUUGCAGAUUCUUCAGGAAACAGGGAUAAACUCCAAACGAGGAGAUGGCAGAGUUGUGA